Molecule: ribosomal RNA, 250 nt
Filed under: uncultured Staphylococcus sp.
Lineage: Bacteria; Bacillati; Bacillota; Bacilli; Caryophanales; Staphylococcaceae
Description: partial 16S ribosomal RNA
Rfam family: Bacterial small subunit ribosomal RNA
Source: RNAcentral
CGUUAGCGGCGGACGGGUGAGUAACACGUGGAUAACCUACCUAUAAGACUGGGAUAACUUCGGGAAACCGGAGCUAAUACCGGAUAAUAUAUUGAACCGCAUGGUUCAAUAGUGAAAGACGGUUUUGCUGUCACUUAUAGAUGGAUCCGCGCCGCAUUAGCUAGUUGGUAAGGUAACGGCUUACCAAGGCAACGAUGCGUAGCCGACCUUAGAGGGUGAUCGGCCACACUGGAACUGAGACACGGUCCAG